Pimephales promelas (fathead minnow) is the source of this 1996-nucleotide non-coding RNA. The record is from RefSeq and is a predicted model, not a curated record. Lineage: Eukaryota; Metazoa; Chordata; Actinopteri; Cypriniformes; Leuciscidae.
AGUAAAUUAUCAGCAAAAGUUUUUUUUUUAAAGUGAACUACUCCUUUAAAUCUCAGACCGUCCGUAAACACUUGUAUUACCAAGGUAGCGACGGACGUGUUUAUAUUAUUUUCCAAAGAGUUCUGUCAUCAGCCCCACGGUGGAAAAUGAAACCAUAGAAUGGAACAGUUAAGUAAUGAGAACACUUUGGCCAGACAGUGGAAACGCGGCUAAAGAUUGACCAAAGUAAGUGAAGUACAAAUCCAUCAGUCACUGACUCAAUCUUCAGAGAUGAAAGUUGCUUAAAGCAGAUUCUGUAUAGUGAACUGGACGUCAUGUACACAUUAGAUGAAUGUGCCACUAUUAAUCACUAUUAAUGAUGUGCGCCCUUCAAGAAAACAUGCCUGGUAUACUCAAGCAUGCAAACUAGAGCCAUACUGUAUGAAGAAGACUUCAAAGGGUCUGGGUCAAUGCCUUAAUGGAGUAUUAUGCCAGAUUGGAUUCCCUUGUGUCAGUGGUCAGAGGAGAUGACAGUCCACAAGACAUCUACAAGAGUCAGUGUUAGUUAGGAACUGCUUCUUCUCUCAGAUACUUCUCAACUCCCAAUAGGCAUUCAAAUCAUUUGCCGUUGAACUUCGGGAUGUGGGAAAGCAAAGACAAAAUGUAGAACAAAUUCCAACUUAAGACAUCGAUCAAAAUGAUUCCUCACUCGGAGGAUCCUUUAAUGCUCAGAUCAAGGAUAUGCCACUGCAAGACACUGAAAUGAGGUUGCGGCGAAGGUUAAGUGAGUAAUUUCAGUGACAUUAACGCCACUAAAACUGUUUUUUCGUUGACAUAACAACAUUGAUUCCACCGAUACCUUGAGUUUGGGAUGGGACGCUCUGUCUGAACCAUGGGGUCGAGUUUUGUCUGUCUUUUUUCCUCAUUGACGACCAUUGAAGCUGUGUUCUCUGACAAAAUACAUUUUUAUUCCAAACAUUUUAGUAUAUGGUAGUUGUCGAGAAACUGCAUUUAAGCGCAAUUAUAAUGCUAAUGAAUGGGUUUCCGCUAGAUAUUUGAGAAGAAAUUGGACUUUUUUGCCAUUCUACUUAGUGCCGAUAAUGGCGUAUAAUGACAUACUUUAAUGACAAUGAGCAGCUGAUGCCCCAUAUUGUGGCAUUUGUGUGCAUAAUGAUGCACAUUUUUAUUUUCUUUCGAUCAUCAAACACAUGAUGAUCAUGACAACGAUUACUGCAGAAUAUACAAUGUGGGGCGAUUUGCACAAUUUUAAUUUAUAAUUGUUGUAGAUAUUGGUAAAUGCCUGUUGAGAUUUGUAAUGACUUUGUUUUGAGGUGUCUGCUAUAUGUGCACAUGGUGUAUAUUUUGUGCUUGUGUGUGCUUUGUGGAGAGUAAGAGAAACAUUUAGGUCCCGGUUUAGUGUUAAGUCAACUAAGAAGAAGAAUUGCUGGCAUUUUUUUGCAAAACUCAGACCAAUUUGCCUUUUGAGUGAAACUGGCUGAGAUAAAUGUGUUAAAGGUGAGGUAGCGGUGGAUGAAUCUUUGCCAAAAGGAAAUGCUUUAUCGCCACAAGGGAUCAAAGGCCGCGAUCUUAUUUGCCUGAGGUUGUCUGCCAAAGCAAAACAAGCCUGUUGGAUAUUUCAAACAGAUUUUUCAAAAUUGGCAUCAUCUAAUGUUAUCCAAGCAUGUGAGUAAUCGCGGAAGUCGAUAAAUCAUGCAUGCAUGGGUCCGUCUUCUAUAUCCAUGUGAGCGUAAGCCUCUGUUUCUUGGAGCCAAACUGAAGGGAUGCCAAAUUCUUCAGUGAGGGAAGCAAAGUGCCUGUUAUGCUCAUCUAUCUGCAUUUCAAACUUCAGACCCUCUUGGAAUGUCUAGGAAUGAACUUGUAAAAAGUAUCCCAAGAGAACCAGAGCCGUGCUUUGGAUGCAGAAGACAUGGAAAGCUGAAUCUAUGUAACAAAACAUGCAUUUUAUCAAUUGAACCAAUUAGUAAGCCUCUGAAUGGUGAUAAGGUCACAUCAAAAA